This 765-nucleotide ribosomal RNA is filed under the name uncultured Atopobium sp. RNAcentral's name for it is "bacterial SSU rRNA". It matches the Rfam family "Bacterial small subunit ribosomal RNA", at positions 75 to 854 of the family's 1533-position model. The record is from RNAcentral. Lineage: Bacteria; Bacillati; Actinomycetota; Coriobacteriia; Coriobacteriales; Atopobiaceae.
CACCUUUUAGGUGUGUAUAAAGUGGCGAACGGCUGAGUAACACGUGGGCAACCUGCCCUCCUCUUGGGGAUAGCCUCGGGAAACCGAGGAUAAUACCCGAUACUUCAAUGUGGCCGCAUGGCGACAUUGAGAAAGCUUUUGCGGAGAAGGAUGGGCCCGCGGCCUGUUAGCUUGUUGGUGGGGUAGAGGCCUACCACGGCAAUGAUGGGUAGCUGGGUUGAGAGACCGACCAGCCAGAUUGGGACUGAGACACGGCCCAGACUCCUACGGGAGGCAGCAGUGGGGAAUCUUGCACAAUGGGCGAAAGCCUGAUGCAGCGACGCCGCGUGCGGGACGAAGGCCUUCGGGUUGUAAACCGCUUUCAGCAGGGACGAGGCGAUAAGUGACGGUACCUGCAGAAGAAGCCCCGGCUAACUACGUGCCAGCAGCCGCGGUAAUACGUAGGGGGCAAGCGUUAUCCGGAUUCAUUGGGCGUAAAGCGCUCGUAGGCGGUCUGUUAGGUCGGGAGUUAAAUCCGGAGGCUCAACCUCCGUUCGCUCCCGAUACCGGCAGACUUGAGUUUGGUAGGGGAAGGUGGAAUUCCUAGUGUAGCGGUGGAAUGCGCAGAUAUUAGGAAGAACACCAGUGGCGAAGGCGGCCUUCUGGGCCAUAACUGACGCUGAGGAGCGAAAGCUAGGGGAGCAAACAGGAUUAGAUACCCUGGUAGUCCUAGCUGUAAACGAUGGACACUAGGUGUGGGAGAAUACGUCUUCCGUGCCGCAGCUA